Molecule: non-coding RNA, 102 nt
Filed under: Paenalicyclobacillus ferrooxydans
Lineage: Bacteria; Bacillati; Bacillota; Bacilli; Caryophanales; Alicyclobacillaceae
Description: Alicyclobacillus ferrooxydans Guanine sequence
Rfam family: Purine riboswitch aptamer
About the family: Riboswitches are metabolite binding domains within certain messenger RNAs that serve as precision sensors for their corresponding targets. Allosteric rearrangement of mRNA structure is mediated by ligand binding, and this results in modulation of gene expression.
Source: Rfam by way of RNAcentral
GUCGAAAAUAAAAAGCUAACUCGUAUAUCCUCGGGGAUAUGGCCCGAGAGUCUCUACCCGGACCCCGAGAAGGUCUGGACUACGAGUGGGAGAUUGCGAGAC